This 253-nucleotide ribosomal RNA is filed under the name uncultured bacterium. RNAcentral's name for it is "partial 16S ribosomal RNA". It matches the Rfam family "Bacterial small subunit ribosomal RNA", at positions 524 to 776 of the family's 1533-position model. The record is from RNAcentral.
UACGUAGGUGGCAAGCGUUAUCCGGAUUUAUUGGGCGUAAAGGGAACGCAGGCGGUCUUUUAAGUCUGAUGUGAAAGCCUUCGGCUUAACCGGAGUAGUGCAUUGGAAACUGGGAGACUUGAGUGCAGAAGAGGAGAGUGGAACUCCAUGUGUAGCGGUGAAAUGCGUAGAUAUAUGGAAAAACACCAGUGGCGAAAGCGGCUCUCUGGUCUGUAACUGACGCUGAGGUUCGAAAGCGUGGGUAGCAAACAGG